Molecule: ribosomal RNA, 927 nt
Filed under: Triticum aestivum (bread wheat)
Lineage: Eukaryota; Viridiplantae; Streptophyta; Magnoliopsida; Poales; Poaceae
Description: partial small subunit ribosomal RNA
Source: RNAcentral
AUGCAAAAGAAGAAAGAUACGGAUAACAAUAUUGUCAAAUUGAAGUUAUCUCCAUUUUCACUUAGAGAUCGUGCUAAAAUUUGGUUUUCGUCUUUGCCCAAAAAUAGUAUUGAUUCUUGGAACAAGUGCAAAGAUGCUUUUAUCUCUAAGUAUUGUCCUCCCGCUGAGAUCAUCACUCUUAGGAACGAUAUUAUGAAUUUUAAACAACUUGAUCAUGAGCAUGUUGUCCAAUCUUGGGAAAGAAUGAAAUUGAUGCUUCGCAAUUGCCCUACUCAUGGUUUGAAUUUAUGGAUGAUCAUACAAAAUUUUUAUGCCGGUUUGAACUUUGCCUCUAGAAAUCUCUUAGAUUCGGCCGCGGGAGGCACGUUUAUGGAAAUUAUGUUAGGAGAUGCUACAAAAUUGCUUGAUAAUAUUAUGGCUAAUUAUUCUCAAUGGCACACCGAAAGAUCUUCUAGUAAAAAAGUGCAUGCUAUAGAAGAAAUCAAUGUUUUGAGUGGAAAGAUGGAUGAACUUAUGAAGAUGUUGGCUACUAAAAAUACUCCUCUUGAUCCAAAUGAUAUGCCUUUGUCUUCCUUGAUUGAGAAUAAUAAUGAAUCUAUGGAUGUGAAUUUUGUUGGUAGGAAUAAUUUUGGAAACAAUGCUUAUAUAGGAAAUUUUAAUACUAGACCAUUCCCUAGUAACCCCUCUAAUAAUUAUGGAAAUUCCUACAAUAAUUCUUAUGGUAAUUUUAAUAAGAUGCCCUCUGAUUUUGAGAAUAAUGUGAAAGAAUUUAUGAUUUCUCAAAAGAAUUUUAAUGCCUUGCUUGCAGAAAAUUGCUCAAAGUUGAUGAUUUGGCUAGGAACGUUGAUAGACUUUCACUUGAUGUUAAUUCUCUUAAACUUGGAUCUUCUUCUCCUAAGCAUGAUAUCAAUGAGUCUCUCAAAGUAA